This is a long non-coding RNA of Scylla paramamosain (green mud crab), 694 nucleotides long. RefSeq lists it as uncharacterized. NCBI's taxonomy places the organism in Eukaryota, Metazoa, Arthropoda, Malacostraca, Decapoda, Portunidae. The record is from RefSeq and is a predicted model, not a curated record. The transcript has 2 exons.
UCAGAUCUGUUAAUUUAGUUUACUUGUUCCCCUUGUUUUCUUUAUCUCGUCUCCCCUGAGACUUGUUCUUCCUUAAAUGGGUUUUCUGCAUUUUUUUUUCUUCCUGAUUCAGUUUAGUUAUAUAUCUAUUGGUUUUAUUUAAUGAUUGAUUUAUUUACUUAUCACUGUUAUCUAUUUAUUCAUUCAUUUAUAUUUAUUUAUUUAUCUACUUAUUUCAUUUAAUCUAUUUAUUUCUAUUUGCGAGUCAAUUCAAAUACUUAGGAAGGGAAUAAAACGGCUGUCUGGUAACACAAAAGUGACGGGAGAACAAGAAAUAUGCGUCAGUUCUGGAAUCCAACGCACUGAUAUCACAAAAAUGAGGAUGGACUGACUGAUUAGACGCGCUGCCACAACCCAAUGAAUUAGGACAAGCUAGAAAAAGAGAGUUACUAAUAUUUUUACACCUCCUUCGUCUCAACUAUAGCGGCAUGACAAAGAAUAACAGCAAAACAAAGUGGUGGCAAGGUAACAUGACAGCGUAUCUUUGCGUACAUGGUAAUGCAAUAAAAGCCCAGAGUUGCCACCGCUGUCCCUUUCUGAGCCGGGCGGACGCGACACGCCUUCACUUCAUUCGCGUUUAAAUUUUCCAAGUGAUAAUGUUGAAGUGCUAAUGGAAAAUGUUUGUCAUGGCUUCAGAUUAAAUAUAUUCUUUUUU